CAGCCGCCGCGGGAAUACGUAGGUGGCAAGCGUUGUCCGGAAUUAUUGGGCGUAAAGGGCUCGCAGGCGGUUUCUUAAGUCUGAUGUGAAAGCCCCCGGCUCAACCGGGGAGGGUCAUUGGAAACUGGGAAACUUGAGUGCAGAAGAGGAGAGUGGAAUUCCACGUGUAGCGGUGAAAUGCGUAGAAAUGUGGAGGAACACCAGUGGCGAAGGCGACUCUCUGGUCUGUAACUGACGCUGAGGAGCGAAAGCGUGGGGAGCGAACAGGAUUAGAUACCCGUGUAGUCCCUGUCUCUUAUAC
Molecule: ribosomal RNA, 301 nt
Filed under: uncultured bacterium
Lineage: Bacteria
Description: partial 16S ribosomal RNA
Rfam family: Bacterial small subunit ribosomal RNA
Source: RNAcentral